This is a long non-coding RNA of Pogoniulus pusillus (Red-fronted tinkerbird), 727 nucleotides long. RefSeq lists it as uncharacterized. The record is from RefSeq and is a predicted model, not a curated record. The transcript has 2 exons. Lineage: Eukaryota; Metazoa; Chordata; Aves; Piciformes; Lybiidae.
UUGUUUGUUACUUUUUUUUCUUUUAAAUAUUGAAAAAGUCGAGUACACCAAAGCCCCAAAAACGGCUCUGCUAUACGCUGCACAGCAUCGGUUUCUGUUUAAAGUCCCUGUAGUGGUUGUUCUUUAUGUACAGAAGUGAGAAAAUGCAUCCUCCACAACCCUUCUGCACCUUUACGACUCCUUUCUGCUGUUUGUUUUCGUUACAGGAAAAAUAAGAAAGAAAAAAAACCAAACUGGAUUCCAAAGGAUGCAACCUACGUGUGCAAAGAAAGAAGGCAUGCUUGUGGGAGAGGAGAAACAUGGAUCCCCACCUGCUCUGACCCUCCCUCUGUCAAUAGACAUCCCUGAAACCCAGCUUAGGAUCUUAUCUGGAGACCAAAGCCUCCAUGUGAGGGACAUCUGGGGUUUCAUUUAACACUCUGUUUGCAUUCCCUGUUGCAUAAACCUUUAUCAGAUACAGACAUUUAUACUCAUAGAAGCUUUUGGGGAGCUGCAGGCCAUUAAAUGCUAUAGAAACAAAGAAUUAUUUCAGUUGGAAGAGAUCUCCAAGAGCAUCAAGUCCAACCUUCUAUUAUAAGCCAGAGAGGUUUAAUCAAGGAAGGGCUUUAUGUUCAAAGUGCUUCAUGGUAACAGGAAAUUCUUCUCCUUGACAUUCCAUAUGGUGAUUUUUGGUGGGGUUUUAGUCAGAGCAGUGGGGUCCCAGAACAUGAGUGGUCUCACUUUUCAG